CAAAUCUUUGCGAUGCUGUUGGGACUGCUUAAGGCUGCAAGCCAGUUCUGUUCCCAUUGCAGUAGGUGAUAAAGAUCCUAUUAAAUAUUAACGAGUAAUCACUUGAAUAUUAGCCAUUCUCUUUGUUAUCUCUGAAGUAGCUAAAUAAACAAAGUGUCUAAAGUCUGUGACCUUCACAUUAAAACCAGGCUGAAGUUGUAACAUAAAUUACUGUUUAGUGCAGUUUCUUGUGUAGCAGAAAGUUGUUAAUUUCCCCUACAAAUCGGGAUGUUAUUGGUGAGGCCUAAUUUGGAGUAUUGUAUGCAGUUUUGGUCACCUACCUACAGGAAAGAUCUCGGCAUUCAACACCACUACCCUCUCAGUACAGAUCAACAAGAUUCAAAACCUGGGCCUCUGUACAACCCUCUGCAAUUGGAUUCUUGAUUUUCGCAUUGGGAGACAACAGUCAGUGUAGAUUGGUAAUUAUACCUCUUCACUGACAAUCAACACAUGCAUACCGCAGGGAGGGCCAGGACAACAAUUGCUGGUGACAACCCAGUGGAGAUGGCUGUUUUGAUUCUCAUGCCUGGCCUGAGGAAGGAGUUUCACAAAAAACAAGCCAAUCAAGUUCCAGGGACAUUUCAACUGUCCCUAUGGUCUUUGCUCCUUGCCAUCUUCAAGUUCCUCCAGCCCUAUAGUGCAUCAAGAUCUUUUCAUUCUCACAAUUCUGACCUUGUCCCAGAAUUUAGUAACUGCACUGGCAACACUCAUGCCUUCAAAGAUUAAGUCCCUCCAUUCUAGAAAUCCCUCUGUCUAAAAAGUGCAAAAAGUUACAACCUUUCAAGCCCAAAUCUUUGAUCAAAUUACUCAUAACCUUCCUUAAGUAGUAUCUCUCAUCUAGUUCAAGAAGCAGAUUUAUAGCAGACUCUCAGAAGGGGAUUAAGGAAUCAAUUCCAACGCUCAAAGCCUAGAAGGCAAAAGACACAGCUUCAAGGGGUGGGACUAAAGUACUUUGCAACAUGCCUCCCUGCCUUGACCAAUCCUGAGAUAUGUUAAUUCAGUUUACCAUUCCAUGAGGCAAGUUUAUUGUAUAUUCAAGGAAAAGGGUCAAGGCCUUGUCUUGUCAACUAGGAGAAUGUUUUAUACUUUGAGAUGCAAGCUGGGGAAGGCUGCAAAAAUAAUAAGGUAAUUGAGGAAUUUAAAUAAGGUUAAGAAUUUCAGAAAUUAAGAAAUGACAGGAGAACUGGAUCCUAUGCAAGCCAGCAAGAGCCAAGGUGCUGGGUGAACCAGACUUGCUUAACUAGGAAAAAAGAAACACAAGUAGUCAUAUCAAACUAGACCCUAAGUAAAGGAAAUAUUUAAUUCAUACAAGUUUGUAGAAAAACACCAAAUACUUAUUAUCGAGAAUGAUCAAAUAAACAUAGAACAAGAACAGCACAAUCUUUGCAUUCUUUCCACAACCACAUAUAAUUUGCACUGAAUCUGUGACAGAAAAACCCUGCAGACAAUUAAGCUUCUUCUCACUUUUACUCCAAAAUUUAUUCCAAUAAAAUUUAUUAUUUUAAUAGCGCUGAGUUCUGCAAUCCUUAUUUGUUGCUUUUAUUUAUUUAUAUUAAGAUCCAGGAAUAUUUCAUUAUCUUUAUUCAUUUUAAUGAUUUUAAUCAAAAGGUUUUUAAAUUUUCUUUCUGAUUAACUACUUAAUUCAAAUCCAGUUCUAUCAAAGGCAUUUAUUACCCUUAAUCCUUCAAGAGAUAUUGUUAUUCGCAACAGUUACCAUGUUAAUUUGUUUGGUCUUUUCAUAUUAAGUUGUUAUUACAGAAUAUUUAGUAUUUAAAUCAGUGAGUGUGUCCCCUUUACAUGUACUGCCAAACCACUUUAUAACAAUGUAAAUGUGAACCUCUAAUGCUAGAAUAAUGCUUGUUAUUCUCUUCUGAAACCUUUGAAAAUGCAAAAUGUCCUAUGCAUAAUAUUUAAUCAAAGAUCUAUGAAAGGUUAGAGUACCCUUUGUCAAUUAGCAAUCAAUGAUAUUUGAAAACUAUCCCAAAUACACAUCAGAUGAAAUCUAAUGACACAUCUGACCAUGUGUGGUUUUGUCUGUGACA
This is a long non-coding RNA of Mobula hypostoma (lesser devil ray), 2081 nucleotides long. RefSeq lists it as uncharacterized. NCBI's taxonomy places the organism in Eukaryota, Metazoa, Chordata, Chondrichthyes, Myliobatiformes, Myliobatidae. The transcript has 3 exons. The record is from RefSeq and is a predicted model, not a curated record.